GGUGAAUACGUUCCCGGGCCUUGUACACACCGCCCGUCACACCACGAGAGUUUGUAACACCCGAAGUCGGUGGGGUAACCUUUUGGAGCCAGCCGCCUAAGGUGGGACAGAUGAUUGGGGUGAAGUCGUAACAAGGUAGCCGUAUCGGAAGGUGCGGCUGGAUCACCUCCUUUCUAAGGAA
This 181-nucleotide ribosomal RNA is filed under the name Sutcliffiella horikoshii. RNAcentral describes it as "Bacillus horikoshii partial 16S ribosomal RNA". It matches the Rfam family "Bacterial small subunit ribosomal RNA", at positions 1361 to 1533 of the family's 1533-position model. The record is from RNAcentral. Lineage: Bacteria; Bacillati; Bacillota; Bacilli; Caryophanales; Bacillaceae.